This 259-nucleotide non-coding RNA is filed under the name Clostridium sp. Its description in RNAcentral is "T-box sequence". It matches the Rfam family "T-box leader". From Rfam's summary of the family: Uncharged tRNA acts as the effector for transcription antitermination of genes in the T-box leader family. T-boxes are found upstream of many aminoacyl-tRNA synthetase genes and some amino acid biosynthetic genes usually in Gram-positive bacteria. The anticodon of a specific tRNA base pairs to a specifier sequence within the T-box motif, and the NCCA acceptor tail of the tRNA base pairs to a conserved bulge in the T-box antiterminator hairpin. Lineage: Bacteria; Bacillati; Bacillota; Clostridia; Eubacteriales; Clostridiaceae. The record is from RNAcentral.
AAAAAUGCUGUGAAGCGGAAAAGUACUUAAUGUUAGCAAUCUUACAGAGAGUGGCGGUUGGUGAAAAGCCAUAGAGAGCAGUUAAGGAAAAUCACCGCGGAGCUGAUAGCUGAAGCUAUGUUAAUCAUAGUUGUAAGUGAAUCCGUUGGCCUACGUUACAGGAUAGAGUAUGAAUCAUAGCUUGCUUUUCGCAGGGUAUGAAUAGUACUUGAAUUUUGUACUUUAGAGGUGGUAUUACGAAUAUAACUUCGUCCUGUAG